UGGGAACGCACUCGGUUGAUGGUACCCAA
This 29-nucleotide non-coding RNA is filed under the name Homo sapiens (human). The record is from RNAcentral. Lineage: Eukaryota; Metazoa; Chordata; Mammalia; Primates; Hominidae.